CGAACGCUGGCGGCAGGCCUAACACAUGCAAGUCGAGCGCCCGUAGCAAUACGGGAGCGGCAGACGGGAGAGUAACACGUGGGAACGCGCCCUUCGGUUCGGAAUAACUCAGGGAAACUUGAGCUAAUACCGGAUACGCCCUUACGGGGAAAGAUUUAUUGCCGAAGGAACGGCCCGCGUCCGAUUAGCUUGUUGGUGAGGUAAUGGCUACCAAGGCGAUGAUCGGUAGCUGGUCUGAGAGGAUGAUCAGCCACACUGGGUCUGAGACACGGCCCAGACUCCUACGGGAGGCAGCAGUGGGGAAUUUUGGACAAUGGGGGCAACCCUGAUCCAGCCAUUCCGCGUGAGUGAAGAAGGCCUUCAGGUUGUAAAGCUCUUUUGUCCGGAACGAAACGAGUUGCGUGAAUAGCGCCGCCUACUGACGGUACCGGAAGAAUAAGCACCGGCUAACUACGUGCCAGCAGCCGCGGUAAUACGUAGGGUGCGAGCGUUAAUCGGAAUUACUGGGCGUAAAGCGUGCGCAGGCGGUUUUGUAAGCCAGAUGUGAAAGCCCCGGGCUUAACCUGGGAAUGGCAUUUGGGACUGCAAGGCUUGAGUGCGGCAGAGGAGACUGGAAUUCCUGGUGUAGCAGUGAAAUGCGUAGAUAUCAGGAGGAACACCGAUGGCGAAGGCAGGUCUCUGGGCUGACACUGACGCUCAUGCACGAAAGCGUGGGGAGCAAA
RNAcentral lists this ribosomal RNA (722 nucleotides) under uncultured soil bacterium. RNAcentral's name for it is "bacterial SSU rRNA". It matches the Rfam family "Bacterial small subunit ribosomal RNA", at positions 30 to 772 of the family's 1533-position model. The record is from RNAcentral.